UACCCCAAGUCAGAUUGUAGUUAUAUCAGAAAAACUGAAGCAACUACCCUAAUUUCCUGCUUCUUUCACUUUCUCUAAGUAUAUAAACUAAUACUCUCAGAAUCUGGAGUACUUUGAAAUUUGGUAAGCCAGUUGAAAUCUCAGAAUCAACAACUGUCGCAAGAUCUUCUUGGAGAAGCGCUUGUUCUUCACUUUAGAGCAAUUAAAGUUUCAAAGAUCUUUAUCAACCACAGUCGCAAUAUCAGAAAAGAAGAAGAACUGACUUCUUCACAGCCUCCUUAGAUGUGAAUUGAAUCCUGCAUUUGGAUUCUGAUGUUAACCAGAUAGUUACAGACAUGUAUGGCAGAAACAUUACUGUUGAUGUAGCUAGAACCAGAUUUGUUCAAGACCUGUUGGAAGCCAGGAGAUUCGAUCAAAUAGCAAUUGACAAACUGUAAGUGAAUUGGAUGUAUUACUUUCCUUGUUUAACGACAACAACAUGCAAGGUUUCCCUUUCCCACUUGUACUUUUUAUCAUAAAAGUAACUUUGCGCAUACACGACCCAAUACCCAUAAUCGUCUUAAUGGUAAACUGCAGAUACGUGGACCCUGCUGUGGCUUACUCUAUGAUAUUGAUAGUGUAUCUAGACCACGAUAAGCCUUGAGUGGCAGAUAGAAACUGACAAGCAAAAACAGCCUAGGCAGACAGUGGCGGGGGGGAUUCAGAAGUUGAGUUUGCAUGCCUCAGUGAGGCAGAGAAAUAGGAUUAUCAGUCUUUUUAGUUUUGUAAACUGAACUGACAAAUGAUAUACUGUUGUUUUUGUUAGAAAUUGUGGUGCUGGAUUUUUCUUUCAUUUUAGUCUUCGUUGUUUCGAUGAACAUGUACAUUUGAUUGAUUCUUAUUCUUUUAGAAGUAGUCUAAAUCAUGAACUGAGAUUUUACUUUGC
This is a long non-coding RNA of Mangifera indica (mango), 925 nucleotides long. RefSeq lists it as uncharacterized. The transcript has 3 exons. The record is from RefSeq and is a predicted model, not a curated record. NCBI's taxonomy places the organism in Eukaryota, Viridiplantae, Streptophyta, Magnoliopsida, Sapindales, Anacardiaceae.